This 303-nucleotide ribosomal RNA is filed under the name Triticum aestivum (bread wheat). RNAcentral's name for it is "partial small subunit ribosomal RNA". The record is from RNAcentral. Lineage: Eukaryota; Viridiplantae; Streptophyta; Magnoliopsida; Poales; Poaceae.
AUGGAGAGCGCCGGGAUGAUGAAGAUGGCCACCGGUGAGGGACCCUCCCUCCGGAAGGGUGCCGGAACUGGGUCCCGAUUGGUUUUUGGUGGCUACAUAGGCUUGCGGCGGCGGAACUCCCGAUCUAGAUUAUUUUCUGGAGGUUUCAGUAUUUAUAGGAAUUUUUGGCGUAGGUCUCACGUUAGGGGGGGGGGGAGGUCUCCGGGCUGUCCACGAGGCAGGGGUGCGCCUUCCACCCUCGUGGGCAGCCCGGGACUCUUUUGGCCCAACUCUUGCACUCCAGGGGCUUCUUUUGGUUCAUAA